Molecule: ribosomal RNA, 253 nt
Filed under: uncultured bacterium
Lineage: Bacteria
Description: partial 16S ribosomal RNA
Rfam family: Bacterial small subunit ribosomal RNA
Source: RNAcentral
UACGUAGGGUGCAAGCGUUAAUCGGAAUUACUGGGCGUAAAGCGUGCGCAGGCGGUUAUGCAAGACAGAUGUGAAAUCCCCGGGCUCAACCCGGGAACUGCGUCCGAUACUGGCAGGCUUGAAUCCGGGAGAGGGAUGCGGAAUUCCAGGUGUAGCGGUGAAAUGCGUAGAUAUCUGGAGGAACACCGGUGGCGAAGGCGGCAUCCUGGACCGGCAUUGACGCUGAGGCGCGAAAGCCAGGGGAGCAAACGGG